GACGAACGCUGGCGGCGUGCCUAAUACAUGCAAGUAGAACGCUGAAGGAGGAGCUUGCUUCUCCGGAUGAGUUGCGAACGGGUGAGUAACGCGUAGGUAACCUGCCUGGUAGCGGGGGAUAACUAUUGGAAACGAUAGCUAAUACCGCAUAACAGUAGAUAUUGCAUGAUAUCUGCUUGAAAGGUGCAAUUGCAUCACUACCAGAUGGACCUGCGUUGUAUUAGCUAGUUGGUGGGGUAACGGCUCACCAAGGCGACGAUACAUAGCCGACCUGAGAGGGUGAUCGGCCACACUGGGACUGAGACACGGCCCAGACUCCUACGGGAGGCAGCAGUAGGGAAUCUUCGGCAAUGGACGGAAGUCUGACCGAGCAACGCCGCGUGAGUGAAGAAGGUUUUCGGAUCGUAAAGCUCUGUUGUAAGAGAAGAACGAGUGUGAGGAGUGGAAAGUUCACACUGUGACGGUAUCUUACCA
This 474-nucleotide ribosomal RNA is filed under the name Streptococcus sp. oral taxon 431. RNAcentral describes it as "bacterial SSU rRNA". It matches the Rfam family "Bacterial small subunit ribosomal RNA", at positions 28 to 485 of the family's 1533-position model. The record is from RNAcentral. Lineage: Bacteria; Bacillati; Bacillota; Bacilli; Lactobacillales; Streptococcaceae.